Molecule: ribosomal RNA, 292 nt
Filed under: uncultured Verrucomicrobiota bacterium
Lineage: Bacteria; Pseudomonadati; Verrucomicrobiota
Description: uncultured Verrucomicrobia bacterium partial 16S ribosomal RNA
Source: RNAcentral
GGACUACUGGGGUAUCUAAUCCCUUUUGCUCCCCACGCUUUCGUGCCUGAGCGUCAGCAAUUGUCCAGGUAGCCGCCUUCGCCUCUGGUGUUCCUCACGAUAUCUACGCAUUUCACUGCUACACCGUGAAUUCCGCUACCCUCUCCAAUGCUCUAGCCGUGUAGUUUGAGGUGCAAUUCCGAGGUUAAGCCUCGGGAUUUCACGCCUCACACACACGGCCGCCUGCGCACCCUUUACGCCCAGUGAAUCCGAAUAACGCUCGCAGUCUCUGUAUUACCGCGGCUGCUGGCAC